AGCUUCUUGUUGCAUCCCAUAAGUAUGUAUACCUUUGUUAUUUUAAGAGUAUCUAUUUAGAUGCAACUAAUAGUUUGAAUUAAAGUGUGUUUUUAAUUUGGAAAAGAUAUGUUACAUCUAUGUCCAAGGAUGAUUGUAUCAAUUAUAAAGUGCCAUUUGUUUGCUUGUUGGAUCCACAGUUUCUAGAGUUACAGUUUCCAUUUUCCUAGAGCCACUGAUGUUUGGACUGUGGCUUUAACAUCUUUGUUGAUCGCCAAGAAGAAACCUUGAAAACUGCCUUGAGAAUGUAGCUAAUAUGUGUAUGAAAUACUUCAUUCUAUUACUGUGUUAUGGCCAUAAUUUUAAUUAAAGUCGUGCAAAUUGCAAUAUAAAACUAGAACUCUGCAUUGUUUUCAAAUUUAAAUCAACAAGGUGUCUUUUGUUUGAGAAAAUU
Molecule: unclassified non-coding RNA, 433 nt
Filed under: Hevea brasiliensis (rubber tree)
Lineage: Eukaryota; Viridiplantae; Streptophyta; Magnoliopsida; Malpighiales; Euphorbiaceae
Source: RNAcentral